This 399-nucleotide ribosomal RNA is filed under the name uncultured bacterium. RNAcentral describes it as "bacterial SSU rRNA". It matches the Rfam family "Bacterial small subunit ribosomal RNA", at positions 358 to 774 of the family's 1533-position model. The record is from RNAcentral.
GGAAUAUUGCACAAUGGGCGAAAGCCUGAUGCAGCGACGCCGCGUGAGUGAAGAAGUAUUUCGGUAUGUAAAGCUCUAUCAGCAGGGAAGAAAAUGACGGUACCUGACUAAGAAGCCCCGGCUAACUACGUGCCAGCAGCCGCGGUAAUACGUAGGGGGCAAGCGUUAUCCGGAUUUACUGGGUGUAAAGGGAGCGCAGACGGCUGAGUAAGUCUGAAGUGAAAGCCUGGGGCUCAACCCCGGAAUUGCUUUGGAAACUAUUUAGCUAGAGUGCAGGAGAGGUAAGUGGAAUUCCUAGUGUAGCGGUGAAAUGCGUAGAUAUUAGGAGGAACACCAGUGGCGAAGGCGGCUUACUGGACUGUAACUGACGUUGAGGCUCGAAAGCGUGGGGAGCAAACA